CAGUCGCCGCGGGAAUACGAAGGGGGCUAGCGUUGCUCGGAAUUACUGGGCGUAAAGGGAGCGUAGGCGGACAUUUAAGUCAGGGGUGAAAUCCCAGAGCUCAACUCUGGAACUGCCUUUGAUACUGGGUGUCUUGAGUGUGAUAGAGGUAUGUGGAACUCCGAGUGUAGAGGUGAAAUUCGUAGAUAUUCGGAAGAACACCAGUGGCGAAGGCGACAUACUGGAUCAUUACUGACGCUGAGGCUCGAAAGCGUGGGGAGCAAACAGGAUUAGAUACCCGUGUAGUCCCUGUCUCUUAUAC
RNAcentral lists this ribosomal RNA (301 nucleotides) under uncultured bacterium. RNAcentral's name for it is "partial 16S ribosomal RNA". It matches the Rfam family "Bacterial small subunit ribosomal RNA", at positions 509 to 807 of the family's 1533-position model. The record is from RNAcentral.